This 1393-nucleotide non-coding RNA is filed under the name Pan troglodytes (chimpanzee). The record is from RNAcentral. Lineage: Eukaryota; Metazoa; Chordata; Mammalia; Primates; Hominidae.
CCGAGAAGCUUCCGCCCAACCCUUUCCAGGUGCCGCUCCCCUGCGCAUUCCAGAGCAGUACUCUCCAAGGUGGGAAACCUAGGAGUUUGGAGUCUCCUCCGGGAUGGAGAAGCUGCCGCUAGCUUAGUUCGCUUUGGGGACCGGAGGGGCUAGAAAGGAAACUGGGGGCGGGGGUGGGGGGUGGACACUGGGCAGGACUGAGCAUCAGCAAGGCGUGAUUCUGAAAGGCAGGGGGCGUCGGCCCCUUACCCCGGAGCGUCCGAGGCGCUGGUCUUCAUACCUGUGUCGGCUCUUUCGAAGGAGAGAGGAGGAGUCGGGGUCUUCACUUUCUUCUCAGCCGCAUUAAAAGCCCUCGCAGUUCUCCAGGUUUCCGAGGGCCAGUGUUCUGGGUCAGUGAAAGGGCUCUGGCCACAGCUGGCUGUUGGUGUCCUGGGCCUCUCUACGCAGCUGUAAAAUGGGGAUGACACCAUCUGGUUUUGCUCAGAGGAAUCCGGUUUGGGAAAGGGAUGUGUUUUCUUCCCGGGCCAAGUUACCACCACCCGCGGCGCCCACUGUUCCCCGUUGUCGACAAGCGGCGCCAGCGAGGGUCCUGGGGAACUUGACCACCGCACCCCCGCAAGCUCGGGUAGACCACGGCAUCCGCCCCUCGCACCUUUCCUGAGGGCCCACACACUCACACCCCCAGGACAGUACCUUCCAGAACUCAGCUGCGCAGCCUGGAGGUGAGGACCUCACCCCUAGUCAGUCACCCGUCCGGUGGAGGGAAGGGAGGCACCAAGGCUGCCGUGCGCCUUUCCCUGCACGCGGUUACUCUCCCGGCUCCAGAGCGGGCCGACCUGGAGCCCCUCAGUGCGCUCUGGUCGUCUACACCCUGAAACCCUUUGAGUUCGAGUCCGCUUGCUGGUGCUUGAGUUCGCCGCGUCCCUGCAAAGGCACUGCCAACCCCAUUUCACAGACCGCAAACCGAGGCGCGAGGAAGAGCAGCGCCUUGCCAAGGCUCCACAACACGCCCCUCGCCCUCUCCGUGCACCGAGGCCGCCCAGCCUGGGACCUGGAGAUCACCAGGCCUUGAACCUUGGGACCUCAACUCCUCUCCCUUUCUUUCCCCCACCCGUCUUAGAUGCAAGGAGAAAGAUUUAGAAGCGCUUAUUUUAAAAUCGGAAUCCGUAUUCCGCUCUGGAAUUCCCUCUGGAAUGGAGGGACUGUGGCAACGCCAGUGUGGGGGUGGAGUGGGCGAGGCGGGGGGGGGGGUUGGGGGGGCGGCCCAGAGACGCCUCCGGUUGCUGCUCCACUUUCUUAUCCUGAGAGGCAGCUGCGUUUCUGCAACCUAUGGGCAACAUGUUUGAAAGAGCUGAUUAAAUGCUUUCCAGUGGUUUCGCCACGAGCCUGCUAA